RNAcentral lists this ribosomal RNA (253 nucleotides) under uncultured bacterium. RNAcentral describes it as "partial 16S ribosomal RNA". It matches the Rfam family "Bacterial small subunit ribosomal RNA", at positions 524 to 776 of the family's 1533-position model. The record is from RNAcentral.
UACGGAGGGGGCUAGCGUUGUUCGGAAUUACUGGGUGUAAAGAGCGCGCAGGCGGCUUACCAAGUUGGGGGUGAAAUCCCGGGGCUCAACUCCGGAACUGCCUUCAAAACUGGUAGGCUUGAGUCCGGAAGAGGAUCGUGGAAUUCCCGGUGUAGCGGUGAAAUUCGUAGAUAUCGGGAAGAACACCGGUGGCGAAGGCGGCGACCUGGCCCGGUACUGACGAUCAGGCGCGAAAGCGUGGGGAGCAAACAGG